CGCCGGCCGGCGCGGCGGGGCGGGGCGCGGGGCCUCCGAGGCCCCGGGGUCGGGGGGCGACGACGUCGGAUCCUGGCUGUGGUGGGCGC
Molecule: transfer RNA, 89 nt
Filed under: Actinomyces capricornis
Lineage: Bacteria; Bacillati; Actinomycetota; Actinomycetes; Actinomycetales; Actinomycetaceae
Description: Actinomyces sp. MAS-1 tRNA-Arg
Source: RNAcentral